UCCUACGGGACGCAGCAAUUAGGAAUCUUGCGCAAUGGGCGAAAGCCUGACGCAGCGACGUCGCGUGACCGAUGAAGUCCUUCGGGAUGUAAAGGUCUUUUUUGGGGGAAGAAGGAUGUGACGGUACCCCAAGAAUAAGCCCCGGCUAACUACGUGCCAGCAGCCGCGGUAAUACGUAGGGGGCGAGCGUUGUCCGAAUUCACUGGGCGUAAAGCGCGCGUAGGCGGACCAUUAAGUUGGGGGUGAAAUCCCGAGGCUCAACCUCGGAACUGCCUCCAAAACUGGUGGUCUUGAGGUAUGGAGAGGGAAGUGGAAUUCCUGGUGUAGCGGUGAAAUGCGUAGAUAUCAGGAGGAACACCUGUGGCGAAGGCGGCUUCCUGGCCAUAUCCUGACGCUGAGGUGCGAAAGCUAGGGGAGCGAACGGGAUUAGAUACCCCGGUAC
RNAcentral lists this ribosomal RNA (442 nucleotides) under uncultured bacterium. Its description in RNAcentral is "bacterial SSU rRNA". It matches the Rfam family "Bacterial small subunit ribosomal RNA", at positions 337 to 793 of the family's 1533-position model. The record is from RNAcentral.